This 253-nucleotide ribosomal RNA is filed under the name uncultured bacterium. RNAcentral describes it as "partial 16S ribosomal RNA". It matches the Rfam family "Bacterial small subunit ribosomal RNA", at positions 524 to 776 of the family's 1533-position model. The record is from RNAcentral.
CACGUAGGGCGCAAGCGUUGUCCGGAAUUAUUGGGCGUAAAGAGCUCGUAGGCGGUCUGUUGCGUCCGCUGUGAAAUCUCGGGGCUUAACCCCGAGCCUGCAGUGGAUACGGGCAGACUAGAGGUAGGUAGGGGAGAAUGGAAUUCCCGGUGUAGCGGUGAAAUGCGCAGAUAUCAGGAGGAACACCGGUGGCGAAGGCGGUUCUCUGGGCAUGUCCUGACGCUGAGGAGCGAAAGUGUGGGGAGCGAACAGG